Small nucleolar RNA from Humulus lupulus (European hop), 107 nucleotides. NCBI's taxonomy places the organism in Eukaryota, Viridiplantae, Streptophyta, Magnoliopsida, Rosales, Cannabaceae. The record is from RefSeq and is a predicted model, not a curated record.
UAGCCAUGGAGAGGGAACUGAUUUAACAGAUCUUUGAAUCUUUCCUAGACUUGAUAAAACGUUUCAUUGUCUUUUUGGAAAAAUGUGGAGAUCUCUCAUUUUAGACU